UAAAAAAGAGGAAAAAGUGUUUUGUCAAAACGGCUGUCGUGGGGCAUCGUUGCCGCGUUUCGUCCAAAGACGGUCAGAAAGGGUUUCUGUUUACUCAUACCCCACAAACACACUCUCUCUCUCUCUCGACUGUUCUACUUCUUAGCAGCGAGGACCUUAGAAAUGCUCCGAAAACCUGUAAGUGCUUUUUUCUCUCUCUGCUUUUACAUUUGUACUUGGGCGCAAUAGCUUUAGCUCAACCUCAAAACAAAUUUCAAUGAUUGCUAUUACUUCAUAAUCUGAUUUGUCAAGGCAUGUGAUGUGGUGAAAAUUGUACUUCUUAUGGGUAGAGAUUUGGGCAAUUGUCUUUGAAGUCUUCAUUUUUUUUCCUUUAAACUGUGUCUUUGAAUGAAUCUUCAAAUUCUGAAAGUGCUCGAAUUUUUUAUUAUAAAUGUUAUAUUAAUUGUCUGAAAAUUUGUAUGCAAUACAAGAUGGGUUUUGUCAUGGUUCUUGAUGUUUUGCAUUUCCAAUGAUGUUAAAAUUGAAACAACUCAGUUUCAAUCAUCAGUGGAAGUGAAUUAGUUUACUUUUAAUCAUUGCUAUUGACCAAAUAAAUAUAGUAGAAACCAUUCGUAAUAAUAUCGUGUACUAUUUCGUUCAUGGUAGGAUCUCGUUAGGGGAUUUCAUUACCUCAUUGACCAUGCUAGAGGAACUUUUAUAUCCACAACUUCAGCCAACCAAACUAAGCUUAUUGUUGGAAACUAACAAAUAAGUAAAAGCCGAAAUCUUUAUAUUGCCCUGCCUGCACUUUAUGAAAGCCACCGUGGUUUUUUUUAUUCAUUAGGUCAUUUAAUUAUUGGAAAGUAAAUCCUAUUAUUUGAAGGAUUUUUUUAUUUUAAGAAAUACCUUGUGCAAACUGCAAACAGUCUGUACUGUUGAAAGCUCACCUCUAUUUACAGAGUUGAUAGAGAUGAUGUUUGUGCAGCUAGAAAUACAUUGUGUGAAGUAAAAUACAAAUCGAAGAUGAGAUGAAAACUCUAUGAAUUAAGAGUGCAUUUUGAGUCUCAAAGACAGACAUACAUUGUGUGAAGUAAAAUACCACGAAUAGUCUUUGGUCUUCUAGAGACCUCAUCAAUAUUCAAUAAUCCCAUUGAAGAGUUUGUGAGGUUGCCUCACCAAAGUAAUGUAUUAGUCGGCUCUUUUAAUAGAAGCUCUUCUAGAUUUUAAAAUAUGCCAUAUCACAUUUUGUUAUACUAAUCAAUGUUUUAGAAAGCCGAUAUCUUCCCAGUCUACGCAUGACCUCGUUCUGCUACAUUCAUGAGAUUCUACGGUUUAGGGAGUUUGCUGCGAUCCUGGUCUUGUUUAUCCAGUUAACUUGUAUCCAUGGGGACUUGACUAACAAAGGUUUCUGAACUCUGAUUAUUAAGUUGCAGAGAAAACAGUUUUUUUAGUAAAGGGGAUGAACAAAAGAAAAAGGACCUUUGUCCACCUGCUUCGCUUAGCUCUCUCAAGUAAAUUACCAUUGCUUGUGGGAGAGGCCAUUGCCUCAGGUUCCUCCACAAGAAGAGUUGAAGAUGGUGCAACAUCAGAUCCCGUUACCUUACUUCGAAUGGAAUUUUAGCCCAUGAAUUUUAAUUUUCUAGAGUUUAUGGCCUUUUUUCUUUACUAGAUUCCGCAUAUAUUUUCUUCUUUAUGCCCCCCUUUGAAGUUGAAUAUGUGUGUGAGUGGUGCAGGCAAUACUCUUCUGUCAAUUGUGGUCACUUCAUAUAGUUGAAUCAUUUAUUGUGAUAUCCUUUGGCCCAGUCUGGUUCCUUGGAUUCAUCUUGGCCCAGUCUGGUUUCUUGGAUUCAUCUUGGCUAUCUAACAUCCUGAAAUCAUUUUAUAAUAUCUUCCACGGUUUACCAAGGAUUUACCUGCAUCUUUUUCCAUGUACUUAUUUUAGCUGUGAAAGUAUUUGUUCAUUUAUUUAUUUUUCCGUCAGUUAAAAUAACUCUGACUUUGCAAGGGGCCAAAAAGGAG
This 1998-nucleotide long non-coding RNA is filed under the name Prunus dulcis (almond). Lineage: Eukaryota; Viridiplantae; Streptophyta; Magnoliopsida; Rosales; Rosaceae. The record is from RNAcentral.